UCUCUCGCAUCCUCUAAACUAGUAGAUGCAAUAGCAACUUGUUAGAGCUUCACUUUACAAUCUUAAGUUUUGAAACUAACUUUUUUUAUAUCUAUGACGAUUUUCCUCGAACAAGUAUUUUUCUUAUAAGUAAAAAUAUUCUUGUUCUUAGCAUCAUCAUUUUACCCUUUUUUUCUAGAUUUUAAAUUUGUUCUUUUGUUUUGUUUUUAUUCAU
This 214-nucleotide long non-coding RNA is filed under the name Elaeis guineensis (African oil palm). RNAcentral describes it as "long non-coding RNA (EGUI_LNC042207)". Lineage: Eukaryota; Viridiplantae; Streptophyta; Magnoliopsida; Arecales; Arecaceae. The record is from RNAcentral.